Molecule: non-coding RNA, 83 nt
Organism: Potamilus streckersoni
Lineage: Eukaryota; Metazoa; Mollusca; Bivalvia; Unionida; Unionidae
Source: the annotation of a GenBank genome assembly
GCUCCGGUGGCCUAGUGGUUAGAGCGUCCGCCUCAAAUGCGGAAAGUCACCGGUUCCAACCCGGCCGAGUCAUUCCGAAGACU